GAUAAUUCUAUAUUAUUUGGCGAAAAUGUUUCGCUGACUAUGAAUGACGCAGGACAGCAUAUCGUUCUGGAAGCAACGCCUGUAGAAAUUGGUGGAAAUGGAGAAAUCAUAACGAAAUCAGCUCAGUAUGCAAUAUUAAGUGGAAAUUUAGAACAGUUUUCCUAGAUUGUCCAAACUCAAUCAGGAGGAGAUCAGCGAUUAAAAGACUUAUUAAAAGAGAUGAAUAUAGAAGCCGCUUACGACAAGUUUUAUGCUCCUGGAAUGGCUGAAGUACAUAAACUGUGACAACUUGGCGUUGGUAUUUCCAGGGAACGAAAAUAUCGGUUAUAGAGCAGAACUAAGGGAAAAAAUUAGGCUUUGGAAGCACAAUAACUUUCCAGAAGAAUAUGUUUCGACUCUAAGUAUGAACUUAAAUAUCAAAAAUUGGAUUGAAAAUCAAUCUCUUGACUCGCCAGCUACCAAUUCCACUUCGUCUGAAGCCACGGUAACGGUUGACAUGACACGGUUUACAUGUCACGGUAACGUAUUGGAAUGAUUAAUAGCAGCUCAUUUGAUAUAAAUUAUUUAAUUAAGUUAGACUCUUAAAUAAAAUCCCAUAAUGAAAAGUAUUUGGAAUUGUUUCACAAACCCCUUAAACCUAAAUUUAACUUUUUAAAUCAUUAUGUGCGUGUCAUAAAACAAUCAGGCCCUCUUAAAUACUUAUGGACUUUUCGAUUCGAAUCUAAGCACAAGGAAGCAAAAAUGUAUGCAAGAAGUAUUACUUCCAGAAAAAAUAUAACCUAUAGUCUAAGCAUGAAAGCAUCUUUAAAGUUUGCAAUAUUUAUAAGGGUCCAUAAUGACCAAACGCAAUAUGAACAAACUGAGCAUUUUCGGAUUAAAGAUUGUAGGUAUUCUAACAAUAUCGUGGAUUUUCGAGAUUUUGAAUCUUUGUUCGCAAAUAAUUUAAAAGUUAAAUCAGUAAACUUUAAGGGAACGACGUAUAAAAAGGGCCAAUUUUUAACAAUAACUACUGACGAAGUCAUUGAACUAUAUGAAAUAAAAGAAAUACUUAUAAGUUUAAAUAAGGGGGCUUACUUUCUAGCCCACAAAUAUGAAAUUAUGGGUUUCUUAGAGCACUAUCAAUCGUACAAAGUUGGUUGUAUAAACAGUGUUAUUGAAUUAAAAAAUGUUGAGUUUUUCACAAGCCCACCUAUUCAUUUGUACUACAUUUACGAAGGAACUCCUGUUAUAAGAAAUAAGAAUUUUUAGUACCUGUUUAUUCAUAUUAAAAAUAUGUA
Rhagoletis pomonella (apple maggot) is the source of this 1277-nucleotide long non-coding RNA. RefSeq lists it as uncharacterized. Lineage: Eukaryota; Metazoa; Arthropoda; Insecta; Diptera; Tephritidae. The record is from RefSeq and is a predicted model, not a curated record. The transcript is spliced from 4 exons.